AGUAUGGACUAGUAGGUUGUCACGAAGAGAAUAUUUUUAAGUGAGAAUUUUUAAAUAUAGAAAAAAAAAAUAAUAAAAAUUACAGUGCGCGUUACAUACUGUUCAAGCUCCAUACUACAGAAUAAAGCCGUAUGAACAAAGAAAUUUCAAUAAAAUAACCAGAGAAUAAAUUAUAAAUCGAGGAAUAACCUACUAUUACGCGUCUAAUUAUCGCAAAAAUAAAAAAUAUCUAAACGAGUAUAUGUAAUAAGGUGAAAAAGUAUCAAUAUGACCGUCAUAGGAGUAGACGAAGAAUAUAAUAAUGGCAGCAGUUUGCUGGGAAAUGCCAAGAAUAACAGAUCUGCGAUUGUCCAAAUUGUUCCAGCACAACCGAAAACAUUAUCACAUUUACCAGCAAGACCUGCCGUUAAUCUAGCAUUUCAAGAUCUUUAUUAUCGCAUCAAAGAGGGUCGCAGAAAUAAUGAAAAGGAAAUUCUCAAAGGUGUCAGCGGCACAUUGCGCUCCAAUGAGCUCACAGCGAUCAUGGGACCAUCGGGAGCUGGCAAAAGUACCUUGUUGAACAUCUUAUCUGGCUACAAAUCCACUGGAAUUGAAGGCUCAAUUGCGAUUAAUGGCAAGGAAAGAAACAUCAGUCAAUUCCGCAAGUUGUCGGCAUACAUCAUGCAGGAUAAUCAACUUCACGGAAAUUUACGAGUUGAUGAAGCCAUGAAUGUCGCAAGUAGCUUAAAGUUGCCCCAAAGUGUUGGAAAGAACGAGAAAGAAGUUGCUAUUCAUGAAAUUCUUGACACCUUGGGUCUCCUCGAGCAUCGUCGCACAUUCACCCGCAACCUCAGUGGUGGCCAAAAGAAACGUCUUUCAAUUGCUCUGGAAUUGGUAAACAAUCCACCAAUUAUGUUCUUCGACGAGCCAACUUCCGGUCUCGAUUCAUCCACCUGCUUCCAAGUCAUCAAUUUGCUCAAAUUCUUAGCGGGUGGCGGUCGCACAAUCAUUUGCACAAUUCACCAGCCAAGUGCACGUCUCUUCGAGAUGUUCGAUCAAUUGUACACGUUGGCGGACGGGCAAUGCGUCUAUCAAGGUCGAACGAAUCAGUUGGUUCCCUUUUUGAAGACACUCGAUUUGGAAUGUCCGAGUUAUCACAAUCCCGCGAGUUAUGUCAUUGAAGUGGCAUGCGGCGAGCACGGUGAUCAUACGAGGAAACUCGUUAAUGCAAUUGAAAACGGCAAAAAGGAUAUCCGAUCGGAAGACAAUUUUCCUGCAGCAAUGGCGGCAAAUGGACUUGCAAAGGUGCACGCUAAAGAUUCCAAUUUGAAGUCAAAUUACGAGAAAAAUAUUCAAAAGGACGUAAAUAUGGACAUCAAGACGGCGUCAUCGCAAAAACAUGUGGGAAAUGGACUUUUGCAGAAGGCAGUGAACGAUCUUGCCAAAAAUGGAGAAGAAAAUGUUGUGAUACCCGUGGAGGAAAAGGAAGAUAAUGAAGCAGCUGUGGCACUUUUGGAGCAAGAUACCAUGGUGUCGACCAAAGAACGUUAUCCCACGUCAGAAUGGCAUCAAUUUUUGGUAGUGCUCAAGAGAACUUUGCUCUUCAGUAGACGUGAUUGGACUUUGAUGUACCUUCGAUUGUUUGCUCAUAUUUUGGUCGGAUUUCUCAUUGGUGCUCUCUACUACGAUAUCGGAAAUGAUGGCGCAAAAGUACUCAGCAACUUGGGUUUUCUCUUCUUCAACAUGCUUUUCCUCAUGUACACCUCGAUGACUAUCACAAUUUUAUCAUUCCCGCUAGAGAUGCCUGUCUUAUUAAAGGAAAACUUUAAUCGAUGGUAUUCACUGAGGUCUUACUAUUUCGCAAUCACCCUUUCGGAUAUUCCAUUCCAGGCCUGUUUCUGCGUCAUUUACGUCUCUAUCGUAUAUUACUUCACAUCACAGCCAAUGGAAUGGUUCCGAUUCAGUCUUUUCUUAGGUGCUUGCUUGUUGGUGUCCUUCGUUGCACAAAGUGUCGGCCUUGUGGUUGGAGCCGCAAUGAACGUACAAAAUGGCGUUUUCCUUGCACCAGUGAUGUCUGUACCAUUCCUUCUCUUCUCCGGUUUCUUCGUAUCAUUUGAUGCAAUUCCCGUUUAUCUCCGAUGGAUUACAUAUUUAUCGUACAUUCGAUAUGGCUUCGAGGGCACCGCCCUAGCUACAUACUCAUUUGGACGCGAAAAAUUAAAGUGUUUCCAGACCUAUUGCCACUUCAAGUCGCCACAAACCACUUUGGAGGAACUUGACAUGGUAGAUGCGGACUUUACACUGGACAUUGUUGCGUUAGUCGUCAUUUUCGUGCUGCUUAGAGUUGCCGCAUUCUUAUUCUUAAGAUGGAAACUGAAGACAGUGCGUUAAAAAAAAGUGAUUGAAAACUUUCUUUUUGUAUAGCAUUAAGUAAUAUUAUUGUGGAUAAAUUUAUUGUUGUUAGCUUUAAGUCCCUUUUUUGUAUAUCACACAUUUAUACGGUAUGGCUCAUGCAGGAGAAAUGAAAGCCACAAUUUCUACCAAAGACAGAGCAUAUUUUCACACAGAACUGUAUUAACGGCGACCGAAUCGCAUGUAACCGUAAUCUCCGAUUUCCUGGCCGCGUUUACCGAAUCUCAAGUGACCAUAGUCGUCCAUUGUACCACGUUUAUCGAUGUCACUUUCGUCCAUAAAUUCCAUAUCCACGGGGUUGACGUGUUCCCGGCGAUAAGCGUUGAUGGCGUACAGCGGACGAGCCAUACGUUUAUUUGAGUAACGGCUCCAUUGUUGGGUUGCAGGUGCUUUUAAUGGGGCGUCGUCUCCAGAUGCUUCAACUUUGGCAUCAACUGCUGCCGCAAAGAGCAGCAUGUACGUCAAAUAAAGGACGAGCGUUGUAAUAAAUGUAACGGAAAUGUAAGUCAUUUUUGUGGAUUUUC
Culicoides brevitarsis is the source of this 2915-nucleotide RNA transcript. It is a transcript of the gene named ATP-binding cassette sub-family G member 1, with no coding region annotated. Lineage: Eukaryota; Metazoa; Arthropoda; Insecta; Diptera; Ceratopogonidae. The transcript is spliced from 8 exons. The record is from RefSeq and is a predicted model, not a curated record.